This 72-nucleotide transfer RNA is filed under the name Pangasianodon gigas (Mekong giant catfish). Its description in RNAcentral is "tRNA-Asp". It matches the Rfam family "tRNA". From Rfam's summary of the family: Transfer RNA (tRNA) molecules are approximately 80 nucleotides in length. The record is from RNAcentral. Lineage: Eukaryota; Metazoa; Chordata; Actinopteri; Siluriformes; Pangasiidae.
UCCUUGGAGGAUUGGUGGUUAGGCCUCGGCGCUGUCAUCGCUGCCGCCCGGGUUCGAUUCCCGGCCAGGGAA